RNAcentral lists this ribosomal RNA (252 nucleotides) under uncultured bacterium. RNAcentral's name for it is "partial 16S ribosomal RNA". It matches the Rfam family "Bacterial small subunit ribosomal RNA", at positions 524 to 776 of the family's 1533-position model. The record is from RNAcentral.
UACGUAGGAUGCGAGCGUUAUCCGGAUUUAUUGGGUUUAAAGGGUGCGUAGGCGGGAUGCCAAGUCAGCGGUCAAAUACGGGGGCUCAACCUGCGUCCGCCGUUGAAACUGGCGUUCUUGAGUGGGCGAGAAGUACGCGGAAUGCGUGGUGUAGCGGUGAAAUGCAUAGAUAUCACGCAGAACCCCGAUUGCGAAGGCAGCGUACCGGCGCCCAACUGACGCUGAAGCACGAAAGCGUGGGUAUCGAACAGG